GCAUUGGUGGGUCAGGGGUAGAAUUCUUGCCUUCCAUGCAGGAGCCAUGGGUUUGAUUUCCAGCCGAUGCA
This 71-nucleotide transfer RNA is filed under the name Loxodonta africana (African savanna elephant). It matches the Rfam family "tRNA". Rfam says of the family: Transfer RNA (tRNA) molecules are approximately 80 nucleotides in length. Their secondary structure includes four short double-helical elements and three loops (D, anti-codon, and T loops). Further hydrogen bonds mediate the characteristic L-shaped molecular structure. tRNAs have two regions of fundamental functional importance: the anti-codon, which is responsible for specific mRNA codon recognition, and the 3' end, to which the tRNAs corresponding amino acid is attached (by aminoacyl-tRNA synthetases). tRNAs cope with the degeneracy of the genetic code in two manners: having more than one tRNA (with a specific anti-codon) for a particular amino acid; and 'wobble' base-pairing, i.e. permitting non-standard base-pairing at the 3rd anti-codon position. The record is from Rfam by way of RNAcentral. Lineage: Eukaryota; Metazoa; Chordata; Mammalia; Proboscidea; Elephantidae.